This 253-nucleotide ribosomal RNA is filed under the name uncultured bacterium. RNAcentral's name for it is "partial 16S ribosomal RNA". It matches the Rfam family "Bacterial small subunit ribosomal RNA", at positions 524 to 776 of the family's 1533-position model. The record is from RNAcentral.
AACGUAGGUGGCGAGCGUUAUCCGGAUUCAUUGGGCGUAAAGAGCUUGUAGGCGGCGUCAUAAGUUGGACGUGAAAACUCCGGGCUUAACUUGGAGAGGCCGUUCAAUACUGUGAGGCUGGAGGGUGUCAGAGGGAAGUAGAAUGUCUGGUGUAGCAGUGAAAUGCGUAGAUAUCAGACGGAAUACCCGUGGCGAAGGCGGCUUCCUGGGGCACUCCUGACGCUGAGAAGCGAAAGCUAGGGGAGCAAACGGG